AACGAACGCUGGCGGCAGGCCUAACACAUGCAAGUCGAGCGGACAUCUUCGGCUGUUAGCGGCGGACGGGUGAGUAACGCGUGGGAACGUGCCCUUUGCUCCGGAAUAGCCUCGGGAAACUGGGAGUAAUACCGGAUGUACCCUUUGGGGGAAAGAUUUAUCGGCAAAGGAUCGGCCCGCGUUGGAUUAGGUAGUUGGUGGGGUAAUGGCCUACCAAGCCGACGAGCCAUAGCUGGUUUGAGAGGAUGAUCAGCCACACUGGGACUGAGACACGGCCCAGACUCCUACGGGAGGCAGCAGUGGGGAAUCUUAGACAAUGGGGGAAACCCUGAUCUAGCCAUGCCGCGUGAGCGAUGAAGGCCUUAGGGUUGUAAAGCUCUUUCACCGGGGAAGAUAAUGACGGUACCCGGAGAAGAAGCCCCGGCUAACUCCGUG
RNAcentral lists this ribosomal RNA (435 nucleotides) under uncultured bacterium. RNAcentral describes it as "partial 16S ribosomal RNA". It matches the Rfam family "Bacterial small subunit ribosomal RNA", at positions 29 to 507 of the family's 1533-position model. The record is from RNAcentral.